Molecule: ribosomal RNA, 315 nt
Filed under: uncultured eukaryote
Lineage: Eukaryota
Description: partial 18S ribosomal RNA
Rfam family: Eukaryotic small subunit ribosomal RNA
Source: RNAcentral
CCCUUAGACGUUCUGGGCCGCACGCGCGCUACACUGACCAGUGCAACAAGCAUCCGUCCUUGGCCGACAGGCCCGGGCAAUCUUUGAACGCUGGUCGUGAUGGGGAUAGACUUUUGCAAUUUUUGGUCUUCAACGAGGAAUUCCUAGUAAACGCAAGUCAUCAACUUGCAUUGAUUACGUCCCUGCCCUUUGUACACACCGCCCGUCGCGCCUACCGAUUGAAUGGUCCGGUGAAGCCUCCGGAUUGGCGCGCACCUCGGUGCCGCCGAGAAGUUGGCUAAACCUUACCAUUUAGAGGAAGGUGAAGUCGUANCA